Long non-coding RNA from Physeter macrocephalus (sperm whale), 544 nucleotides. RefSeq lists it as uncharacterized. Lineage: Eukaryota; Metazoa; Chordata; Mammalia; Artiodactyla; Physeteridae. The record is from RefSeq and is a predicted model, not a curated record. The transcript is spliced from 5 exons.
UCUCAGGACUGAGGUUUGGGAGCCACCAUUCUUGGCGGCCAGGCCAGGCCAGGGACGUUUACUCCUCCUUAGACUGGACAUGUGGAACAAAAGCCCAGGACUCAGAAAGAUAUGAAGAAACUGAGGCUUAGAGAGGAUAAGAAAAGUCCCAAGGUUACAUAGCACGUGAGGGGCAGAAGUGAAUCCAGAUCAACUGAAGAAAUGCUUAGAGUGGGGAGUUUCCAGGAAAACCAAGUUCUGGGGUCUUCUGCUGGGUCUGCAGAAGACCCAGCAUCCUCUUCACCAUCCAGGCCUCCUAGUUUCCAAGUGUGACCUCUAGUCUCCAGAUGCCUGAGGUUGGAAAACCACGACCCUGAAAAUGUAAGUGAAUUGCUCCAGAUCCCACUGUGUUCAAUGGCAGAGCGAGUGUUGGAACUCAUGAGGACGGCGGUGGCUGUGGAGGUGGUGAUUCCUGAGUAGGAAACAACAUAUCGAUGAAGUACUUAAAGAUGAGGAAGCCAUAGCUCAGAGAAGUUCACAUCCUGCCCAAGGUCACAGAGCUGGU